Anneissia japonica is the source of this 1467-nucleotide long non-coding RNA. RefSeq lists it as uncharacterized. The transcript is spliced from 3 exons. Lineage: Eukaryota; Metazoa; Echinodermata; Crinoidea; Comatulida; Comatulidae. The record is from RefSeq and is a predicted model, not a curated record.
AAGCAGAUGAUAAUCACUGAUUGGUGCCAACCAAUCAUUUGUCAACUUAAUGUGUCAUAUGGAAUGUCUGCUACUUGGUGGUUAAGGUGCUUGCAAUUUCAUCACAGGGUCUGUGGUUCAAAUCUUGUUUCUGUGAGGACAAAUAAAUCCUGAAUCUAAAUCUGAAUUAUACAGUUGUACAGGAGAUCCAUCCAAAAUCAAAAUUUGUAUAAAGUUCACCAAAAUCCCAUUCAGAGAAAUCCUGAACAAUAGAAGAAAUAAUCAAUAGUAUAUAAAGAAAAAAUAGAGAACUAUGGAUACUGUACUCUAGGCAUGAUGGAUUAUAAAUUAUGGUAGUUUAAAUGUACCUAAGAAAUGCUAGUGGCAUUGUGCAGUUAGUUGAAUUAUUUCGUUUUAAGUCACAUGGAAAAGGUUGCUUUUAUAAAUAAUUCCAUCUUUAAAUGUGUAUAGUUUUCAUUUCAAAUGUUCUUUUCGGUUACCAAGCUAUCAGGAUUUUUGAUGUCCUCUCAUAGUCCUGUAAAAUAAAAAGGGGAGGGGUGGGGUGAAGAAAUUUGUAGCUAAAUUAUUAUCAUUAUUUACUAGGAAUGAAUGCAAAAUAGAGUGUACAUCGUAGUAUUUAGUAUUAUCUAUCAUGACAGACAGGUGUAAUAAUUUAGUAUCUUCUUUAGAAAUGUAAUAUUACCUUUCAAAUUGCAUUUUUAAAAAUAUUUACAUAAAGACUACGCAUAAUCAGCUGAGUUAUGAUAGAUUAACUAUAUUGAUUUGAAAAAUAUUGAUAUAGUAUAAUAAUAAUAUAGGAUCACACUCUGUAUUAGAACAUCUGGGUUUAGUGCAUACAGUAGUACAACACUGCAUGUUGAAAUCAUUUCACUUCAUCCUGUUGAAUCUAAUCGGUAGGAUUAAUGUUAUUAAUAUCGUCACCAUUUUAAUCAACCUUAGAAUGAAUGUUAAGACGAACUGGGACAUUGGCUAUUAACUGGGUCAGUGUAAACAUGAAUAUUAAUAACUAAAAUAAUAAUGAAUAGUAAUAGAAAUGAAGAUUGUAUUGCACAAUAUGUCAAUGUCAUGGCUUUUGUGCUAUUUUACAUGUUAUGGUUGAAAGAGAGACAUGAAAACCAAGAUAUAGUCUGAAACUAACCAGGUUGCCUGGAUUAUUAUUACUGCAGUCCAUCCAACAGCAGUUUAAGGUGUACAUUUGUGUAGACUGGGGGGUAGGGUACAGAUUAAGUUUGUUAAAAUUCUAACAAAAUGACCAUUAAGUUUUAUUCUAGGAUUUAGUUCUGUAUUUUCAUUUUUUGUACCACCUACCAUUUUUUUUGUAAGAUUGUGCAGCCUUUUAAGAGUUGCCUUAUCAUUUAUUAUUAAGGAAAAAAAGAAUUAAAUGUUUUUUUCUCCAAUUAAAGAUAGAGUUUGAGUUUAAAUAUUUCUCCUUAAAUAGACUUUUUAUUUACGGUAAUUAAUUUUUCU